CACGCCCUAAACGAUGUCAACUAGUUGUUGGGGAUUCAUUUCCUUAGUAACGUAGCUAACGCGUGAAGUUGACCGCCUGGGGAGUNACGCGAAAAACCUUACCUACCCUUGACAUGUACGGAAUCCUGCUGAGAGGUGGGAGUGCUCGAAAGAGAACCGUAACACAGGUGC
RNAcentral lists this ribosomal RNA (171 nucleotides) under uncultured bacterium. Its description in RNAcentral is "partial 16S ribosomal RNA". The record is from RNAcentral.